AUACGGAAGGUCCGGGCGUUAUCCGGAUUUAUUGGGUUUAAAGGGAGCGCAGGCGGAGAUGCAAGCGUGACGUCAAAUUUCGGGGCUCAACCCCGUCUCGCGUCGCGAACUGCGUCCCUUGGUUGCGGGAAGGGGUGGCGGAACACGGGGGGUGGCGGGUGAAGGCAUAGAUAUUACGAAGAACUCGGAUCGCGAAGGCAGCCUUCCGGCCCGUCAACGACGCUCAUGCUCGAAGGUGCGGGUAUCAAACAGGAUUAGAUACCCUGGUAGUCCGCACAGUAAACGAUGGACACCCGCGGUUUGGCCUAUAUGGCUGAGCCGCCAAGCGAAAGCGUUAAGUGUCCCACCUGGGGAGUACGCCGGCAACGGUGAAACUCAAAUGAAUUGGCGGGG
This 393-nucleotide ribosomal RNA is filed under the name uncultured bacterium. RNAcentral's name for it is "partial 16S ribosomal RNA". It matches the Rfam family "Bacterial small subunit ribosomal RNA", at positions 523 to 918 of the family's 1533-position model. The record is from RNAcentral.